RNAcentral lists this ribosomal RNA (429 nucleotides) under Bacteroidota bacterium. RNAcentral describes it as "Bacteroidetes bacterium partial 16S ribosomal RNA". It matches the Rfam family "Bacterial small subunit ribosomal RNA", at positions 355 to 776 of the family's 1533-position model. Lineage: Bacteria; Pseudomonadati; Bacteroidota. The record is from RNAcentral. RNAcentral also lists the same sequence under 1 other name.
UAGGGAAUCUUCGGCAAUGGGGGGAACCCUGACCGAGCAACGCCGCGUGAGUGAAGAAGGUUUUCGGAUCGUAAAGCUCUGUUGUUAAGGAAGAACGAGUGUGAGAAUGGAAAGUUCAUGCUGUGACGGUACUUAACCAGAAAGGGACGGCUAACUACGUGCCAGCAGCCGCGGUAAUACGUAGGGGGCUAGCGUUAUCCGGAUUUACUGGGCGUAAAGGGUGCGUAGGUGGUCUUUCAAGUCGGUGGUUAAAGGCUACGGCUCAACCGUAGUUAGCCUCCGAAACUGGAAGACUUGAGUGCAGGAGAGGAAAGUGGAAUUCCCAGUGUAGCGGUGAAAUGCGUAGAUAUUGGGAGGAACACCAGUAGCGAAGGCGGCUUUCUGGACUGCAACUGACACUGAGGCACGAAAGCGUGGGUAGCAAACAGG